Molecule: ribosomal RNA, 99 nt
Filed under: Pteropus alecto (black flying fox)
Lineage: Eukaryota; Metazoa; Chordata; Mammalia; Chiroptera; Pteropodidae
Also listed under: 1 other name
Source: RNAcentral
GUCUACGGCCAUGCCACCCUGAACAAGCCUGAUGUCUGAUCUCGGAAGCUAAGCAGGGUGAGAUGGGAGACAACCUAGGAAGACCAUAUGCUGUAGGCA